GUAGGAACGGGCCUGUCGAAGUGCGCCUGACAGGAAUCAUAUUGACAGGUCAUGAAAAUGAGACCAAAAGAUCUCUGGAAGCGAUUAAUGAUAAAAUUUCAUGGAGAAGAAGGCCUUGACUACGGAGGGGUUGCCAGGUUCAUGUUGCUGAGGAGGCAGAGGGCUGAGUUCUUCCAUCCAUCGCCUUCAAGUGUCAGGCGGCUUCCGGUUGGACAAGAUGGCUACCCCAGUGGGCUUGUUUCCUCUCUGGUCUCUUUUUCUGUCUAAGACUCACUCCAUACCAGCCUGAGCUUGGGACCAUUGUUUUGCUCCUCUCAUCC
This 320-nucleotide long non-coding RNA is filed under the name Pan troglodytes (chimpanzee). Its description in RNAcentral is "long non-coding RNA NONPTRT006899". Lineage: Eukaryota; Metazoa; Chordata; Mammalia; Primates; Hominidae. The record is from RNAcentral.